This 253-nucleotide ribosomal RNA is filed under the name uncultured bacterium. Its description in RNAcentral is "partial 16S ribosomal RNA". It matches the Rfam family "Bacterial small subunit ribosomal RNA", at positions 524 to 776 of the family's 1533-position model. The record is from RNAcentral.
UACGAAGGGGGCUAGCGUUGCUCGGAAUCACUGGGCGUAAAGGGCGCGUAGGCGGCCAUUCAAGUCGGGGGUGAAAGCCUGUGGCUCAACCACAGAAUUGCCUUCGAUACUGUUUGGCUUGAGUAUGGUAGAGGUUGGUGGAACUGCGAGUGUAGAGGUGAAAUUCGUAGAUAUUCGCAAGAACACCGGUGGCGAAGGCGGCCAACUGGACCAUUACUAACGCUGAGGCGCGAAAGCGUGGGGAGCAAACAGG